RNAcentral lists this ribosomal RNA (490 nucleotides) under uncultured bacterium. RNAcentral's name for it is "partial 16S ribosomal RNA". It matches the Rfam family "Bacterial small subunit ribosomal RNA", at positions 30 to 507 of the family's 1533-position model. The record is from RNAcentral.
AUUGAACGCUGGCGGCAGGCCUAACACAUGCAAGUCGAACGGUAACAGGAAGCAGCUUGCUGCUUCGCUGACGAGUGGCGGACGGGUGAGUAAUGUCUGGGAAGCUGCCUGAUGGAGGGGGAUAACUACUGGAAACGGUAGCUAAUACCGCAUAAUGUCGCAAGACCAAAGAGGGGGACCUUCGGGCCUCUUGCCAUCGGAUGUGCCCAGAUGGGAUUAGCUUGUUGGUGGGGUAACGGCUCACCAAGGCGACGAUCCCUAGCUGGUCUGAGAGGAUGACCAGCCACACUGGAACUGAGACACGCUCCAGACUCCUACGGGAGGCAGCAGUGGGGAAUAUUGCACAAUGGGCGCAAGCCUGAUGCAGCCAUGCCGCGUGUAUGAAGAAGGCCUUCGGGUUGUAAAGUACUUUCAGCGGGGAGGAAGGGAGUAAAGUUAAUACCUUUGCUCAUUGACGUUACCCGCAGAAGAAGCACCGGCUAACUCCGUG